CCUACGGGUGGCAGCAGUGAGGAAUAUUGGUCAAUGGGCGCAAGCCUGAACCAGCCAAGUCGCGUGAGGGAAGACGGCCCUACGGGUUGUAAACCUCUUUUGCCGGGGAGCAAGCCUCAGCACGUUUGCCCAGGCGGAGAGUCCCCGGAGAAAAAGCAUGGGCUAACCCCGUUCGAGCAGCCGCGGUAAUACGGAGGAUCUGAGCGUUACCCGGUUUUAUUGGGUUUAAAGGGAGCGUACAUGGGUUGUUAAGUCAGUUGUGAAAGUUGGCGGCUCAAACGUAAAAUUGCAGUUGAUACUGGCAGUCUUGAGUACAGUAGAGGUAGGCGGAAUUCGUGGUGUAGCGGUGAAAUGCUUAGAUAUCACGAAGAACUCCGAUUGCGAAGGCAGCCUACUAAACUGCCACUGACGCUGAUGCUCGAAAGUGUGGGUAUCAAACAGGAUUAGAUACCCGUGUAGUC
Molecule: ribosomal RNA, 461 nt
Filed under: uncultured bacterium
Lineage: Bacteria
Description: partial 16S ribosomal RNA
Rfam family: Bacterial small subunit ribosomal RNA
Source: RNAcentral